UACGUAGGGAGCAAGCGUUAUAGGGAUUUACUGGGUGUAAAGGGUGCGUAGGCGGCUUGGCAAGUCGAAAGUGAAAGAUUAGGGCACAACCUUAAAACUGCUUUCGAAACUGCUGAGCUAGAGUGUGGGAGAGGAAAGUGGAAUUCCGAGUGUAGCGGUGAAAUGCGUAGAUAUUCGGAGGAACACAAGUAGCGAAGGCGGCUUUCUGGACCAUAACUGACGCUGAGGCACGAAAGCGUGGGGAGCAAACAGG
Molecule: ribosomal RNA, 253 nt
Filed under: uncultured bacterium
Lineage: Bacteria
Description: partial 16S ribosomal RNA
Rfam family: Bacterial small subunit ribosomal RNA
Source: RNAcentral